UCUAAAAUGGCAGAUCAGUGCAUAGGAUUUAAGCUCCUAGUAGAAAAUUUAUAAUUUUUUUUAGAA
This 66-nucleotide transfer RNA is filed under the name Alpheus digitalis. Its description in RNAcentral is "tRNA-Leu". Lineage: Eukaryota; Metazoa; Arthropoda; Malacostraca; Decapoda; Alpheidae. The record is from RNAcentral. RNAcentral also lists the same sequence under 2 other names.